RNAcentral lists this ribosomal RNA (844 nucleotides) under Metagonimus yokogawai. RNAcentral describes it as "SSU rRNA". It matches the Rfam family "Eukaryotic small subunit ribosomal RNA", at positions 303 to 1056 of the family's 1831-position model. Lineage: Eukaryota; Metazoa; Platyhelminthes; Trematoda; Opisthorchiida; Heterophyidae. The record is from RNAcentral.
AUGUCUGCCCUAUCAAUUUUCGAUGGUAGGUGACCUGCCUACCAUGGUGAUAACGGGUAACGGGGAAUCAGGGUUCGAUUCCGGAGAGGGAGCCUGAGAAACGGCUACCACUUCCAAGGAAGGCAGCAGGCGCGCAAAUUACCCAAUCCCGGCACGGGGAGGUAGUGACGAAAAAUACGGAUACGGGACUCGUUAGAGGCUCCGUAAUUCGAAUGAGUACACUUUAAAUCCUUUAACGAGGAUCAACUGGAGGGCAAGUCUGGUGCCAGCAGCCGCGGUAACUCCAGCUCCAGAAGCGUAUAUUAAAGUUGUUGCAGUUAAAAAGCUCGUAGUUGGAUCUGGGUCGCAUGGCUACAUGCCGUUGCUCGUAUUUCUGGCCUGGUUCACACCGGGACGGAUUUAUGAGUCGGUGUCGUGGUUGUGCAGCCUUUCUGCCGUGUCUGUUUCGACAGGUGUUGGCAUGAUUGGUGGGUUCGUCCUGCUGGUCUGUUGACAUGCUUCCAGGUGCCCUUUACUGGGUGUCGGGGGCGGACGGCACGUUUACUUUGAACAAAUUUGAGUGCUCAAAGCAGGCCCGUGUGCCUGAAAAUUCUUGCAUGGAAUAAUGGAAUAGGACUUCGGUUCUAUUUUGUUGGUUUUCGGAUCCGAAGUAAUGGUUAAAAGGGACAGACGGGGGCAUUUGUAUGGCGGUGUUAGAGGUGAAAUUCUUGGAUCGCCGCCAGACAAACUACAGCGAAAGCAUUUGCCAAGGAUGUUUUCAUUGAUCUGGAGCGAAAGUCAGAGGUUCGAAGACGAUCAGAUACCGUCCUAGUUCUGACCAUAAACGAUGCCAACUGACGAUCCG